This is a long non-coding RNA of Oreochromis aureus, 437 nucleotides long. Lineage: Eukaryota; Metazoa; Chordata; Actinopteri; Cichliformes; Cichlidae. The record is from Ensembl.
GAUCGCUUGCCUGUGACCUCCUUUUUGGUCACCUGACUUCCUGUUGGUGUUGCUGAGAUUAGUUGCGGGUUACUUUUCUGAAGCCUCCAUCGCAGCUGGUCGUAGCUGUAGAAGCCUCCUCUGAGCCAUUCUGCUUACGUUUUAUGACACGGCUUACUUGGAUAAAAGCAAAGCAGCAGCUACUUUGGUGUGGGAUUCCACAGCUGUGUUACAGAGAUGGAGGAAGAGUUACAGGAACUCAGGGACUUGAUCGCGCAGCUGAAAGCAGACAAUGAGAGGCUGCGUCAGGAGAGGGCUGUUGGGUCAGAUGCGGAGUGCUGACGUGGAGGAGACUAGGGUGCCUUGGUGGUGGGAUCCUCUGAGUGUACACACCUGCCUUGUUUAAUUUAUUAGUGUGAGUGUGCUGCACUUGUGUCUUGGUGUAUUUUCUUUUUUUU